UAUGGCAUUUAUCUUGAUAAAG
This 22-nucleotide microRNA is filed under the name Nematostella vectensis (starlet sea anemone). RNAcentral describes it as "nve-miR-2044-3p". Lineage: Eukaryota; Metazoa; Cnidaria; Anthozoa; Actiniaria; Edwardsiidae. The record is from miRBase by way of RNAcentral.